This is a long non-coding RNA of Eupeodes corollae, 1598 nucleotides long. RefSeq lists it as uncharacterized. NCBI's taxonomy places the organism in Eukaryota, Metazoa, Arthropoda, Insecta, Diptera, Syrphidae. The record is from RefSeq and is a predicted model, not a curated record. The transcript has 2 exons.
GAUAGUGUUGGUUUAUUUUUGGACGCUGAAUCAAAUGAGAUUAGGGCGCAAAAUAAAGAAAAUAGUAGAACAUUGCGAAAUGAAAGCAAUAUACAUAAACUAUCUGACGCGGCAUUCAAGACAAAUUUCGCCUGAAUAAUAAUGCGUUUGCUUUUGUUUUGGAGCAGAUUCAACACAAAUACAAAACAAGUCAUCGGUCUGAUUGUGUCACUGCGGAACAUAAAUUAGCAGCUUGCCUCAGAUUUUUUGCCGAGGGAAACUACCAACAUGGUGUUGGAAAAGAUUUUCGAUGUUCAGUUGGCCAGUCGACUUUUUCCAGUAUUUUAAAGGAAACUUUAGAUAUAAUGGAAGAGACCUUGUGCAGCAACUGGAUAUCUUUACAGAUGUCUGAUGAAGAAUGUCAACUGUCCAAAACAUAUUUCUUCGAAAAAAACUGGUUUUCCUGGAGUGAUUGGUUGUGUCGAUGGUACUCACGUUCAAAUCAUUGCACCAGUAGAAAACAAAUAUUUAUGUUUUAAUCGCAAGUUAGUUAGUUUGUUAGUUUUGCCUAUAAAGUACUACUUUAAAAUUAUUUUUAUUUUAGAUUUGCGACUACAAAAUGAGAAUAAGAGUCGUUAAUGCUAACUACCAGGGAGCAAACCACGACUCUCGUGUUUGGGCUUUGAGUCCUGAACGACGGUAUUUCGAAAGAAAUCAUUUAAGUACAAGAAAUAGCUGGUUGCUAGAUAAACAUUUUUUUGACAACAAUACCGACCAUCUGAAUUUGUUUCUUUUUGAAGGUGAUUCAGGAUAUCCAUUGGAGCCCUGGCUUAUGACAUCAUUCAGGACUCCUAAACCGCAGAGCCGUUUUAAUAUAUGUCACAGAAGAGCUGGUAACAUAGUUGAACGUUCAAUAGGAUUAUCGAAAAGCAGAUUUCGUUGCUUGUUAGGUGCAAGACAGUUACACUAUGCACCUUUGAUUCAAGUUAUGAAAUUUUCGAGCAUGAAGAUUUAAACAAUACGGAAGAAGAAAUUCAUGAAAUUCAGACUAAUUUGCUUCGAAGCCAAGCAGCUACAAUUCGAAAUGAAAUAGUUCAACUCAACUUUGAUGCAUAAACAUUUAUUAAAAAUAAAUUUAUAUAUUUGAAAACAAAAAUAUCACAAGCCUUCAUGGUGUUUGUCUUUGGUUUUAAAAAAGAAAACACUUUCCGCAACAAGAACUUGUCGGAGGACUUCGGAAAAUUGUAUGUUUGUAUCUGCCAAGAAUAAAACAAAACAAGUGCUUCAUCGCAAAGCAUGGCAUGCAAAUUGCAUGCGUUGAGUUUUGUCGGAGAGAAUGUCCGAUCAGCUGAUCGGACAACUACCUUGAAGCAAAAUGUCUCCGAUUCGGAGAGAAGAGAGGAGGGCCGAUUAAAUUGGCUUAGUCCACAUGAGAAAAGACCGUCAAUUGUCAAGAAUUCGUUGGUAGAGGACAUGUUAAUAGGAGAUAGAUAGUUCUCAUGUGUCUGUUUAGUCCAGAUCAAGUUUGGAAGAUUGAAAUCUCCUAAGACUAGUAACUCGUCUUGUGGCUCAAUUUGAUAGUUUAUUUUGUUUAUGCAAUUAAUUAAGUUUUCAUAAAC